CCUACGGGUGGCAGCAGUGAGGAAUAUUGGUCAAUGGGCGGGAGACUGAACCAGCCAAGCCGCGUGAGGGAUGAAGGUACAGAGUAUGGUAAACCUCUUUUGUCAGGGAACAAAGGCGGGGACGUGUCCCCGGAUGAGUGUACCUGACGAAAAAGCAUCGGCUAACUCCGUGCCAGCAGCCGCGGUAAUACGGAGGAUGCGAGCGUUAUCCGGAUUUAUUGGGUUGAAAGGGUGUGCAGGGGGUCUGUUAAGUCAGCGGCAAAAGCCCGGGGCACAACCCCGGCCCGCCGUUGAAACUGGCAGUCUCGAGUUGGAGAGAAGUAUGCGGAAUGCGCGGUGUAGCGGUGAAAUGCAUAGAUAUCGCGCAGAACUCCGAUUGCGAAGGCAGCAUGCCGGCUCCACACUGACGCUGAGGCACGAAAGCGUGGGUAUCGAACAGGAUUAGAUACCCCUGUAGUC
Molecule: ribosomal RNA, 459 nt
Filed under: uncultured bacterium
Lineage: Bacteria
Description: partial 16S ribosomal RNA
Rfam family: Bacterial small subunit ribosomal RNA
Source: RNAcentral